AAGAGACAGCAGUAGCCACGGGAAUACGAAGGGGGCUAGCGUUGUUCGGAUUUACUGGGCGUAAAGCGCACGUAGGCGGAUGAUUAAGUCAGGGGUGAAAUCCCGAGGCUCAACCUCGGAACUGCCUUUGAUACUGGUCACCUUGAGUCCGGGAGAGGUGAGUGGAACUGCGAGUGUAGAGGUGAAAUUCGUAGAUAUUCGCAAGAACACCAAUGGCGAAGGCAGCCCCCUGGGCCAAUACUGACGCUCAUGCACGAAAGCGUGGGGAGCAAACAGGAUUAGAUACCCGCGUAGUCCCUGUCUCUUAUAC
RNAcentral lists this ribosomal RNA (310 nucleotides) under uncultured bacterium. Its description in RNAcentral is "partial 16S ribosomal RNA". It matches the Rfam family "Bacterial small subunit ribosomal RNA", at positions 503 to 807 of the family's 1533-position model. The record is from RNAcentral.